Molecule: long non-coding RNA, 411 nt
Filed under: Rattus norvegicus (Norway rat)
Lineage: Eukaryota; Metazoa; Chordata; Mammalia; Rodentia; Muridae
Description: long non-coding RNA NONRATT007180
Source: RNAcentral
GCGGGUCUGGAGGGACCGCUGCUGCGGGAAUGUAAAUGCAAGAGAAGGUUUGGGUGUCUAGGGUCCCAGGGGCAUAGUGGAGGCGGCUAGCCCCAGCAACCGCGGCUGCGGAACAUAUGGCGAGGGGAGGUGCACCACAGCUUUCACAUCCGGGGCCCUUGCAGCCCUGGCCUCCUGGCUUCAGUAGGUUCCUGAGGCUGGCUCAGUACUCUGUCUGCCAUGGCCCGGGGACUGCCCAGCACUGCCCGCUUGGCACGCUUUUGCCAGAAACUGAACCGUCUGAAGCCACUGGAAGAGUCUAGCACAGAGACAUCACUGCGGCGUUGCCUGUCCACACUGGACUUGACCCUACUGGGUGUGGGUGGCAUGGUGGGAUCUGGGCUCUAUGUACUCACAGGCACAGUGGCUAAG